AGAGUGGGGCAGCCCUCCCUAGACCAGAGCUCCAGACCCCAGAAUACACCCUCACUGAGGCCCCGGGACUGCCUGUUUGCAUUGAGACAGCGGUUUGGGCUGCCGGGGUUACUCCCCAUCGAGCGCUACCGGAGAGCAGGAACCGAAGGGAAGGGGCGCUGGAGAGUCGAAAGCGAGAUAUAAUGGUGCACUUCCUCUUUCACCAACAGGGGACCUCCUGGAGGAAGGAGGGUCAUGCAGGGUGACAGCCAGAAGAUGCGUUCUGGCUAGCGGGCCGGCCCCUGGGGCCGCAUCUAUGAACCAGAGGUCAGCUCCACCGUGCACCCCAGUAUGCAUUCCCCCUCCUUCAGAGGCCGGCUGGUGGCUUCAUGCCGAGCAGGGUGCCCAUGUGGGAAGCUGGUGUGUGCUCAGGCAGGAGAAGUGAACGCAGGACCAGUUUUCUCCAGAGGGCCAGCAAGGCACCCGGGUCUGCCUCCGUCACACACGGAGUCAGGAUCCGCAGUCCCUUGCCCCCACGCCAGCGUGGGCACCUCCAGGCCUGCAGCCCGAGGGAUCCUGCCAUCUCCUUCCACCCCUUGGUCCCGAUGAGGCAGUAGGUCUGCAGGAUAGCUGUGUCGCGUGGGUGGAGGUGGCAAGAGGUUGGCUCGGGAGCUUGGGUUUGUCUGGACUAUCUUCACAGCUGCUGCCAUCCUCCCCAGAGACGUGCCCACACCCAGCAUGCUGUCC
Molecule: long non-coding RNA, 726 nt
Organism: Ailuropoda melanoleuca (giant panda)
Lineage: Eukaryota; Metazoa; Chordata; Mammalia; Carnivora; Ursidae
Exons: 3
Source: RefSeq, a predicted model, not a curated record